RNAcentral lists this ribosomal RNA (253 nucleotides) under uncultured bacterium. RNAcentral's name for it is "partial 16S ribosomal RNA". It matches the Rfam family "Bacterial small subunit ribosomal RNA", at positions 524 to 776 of the family's 1533-position model. The record is from RNAcentral.
UACGGGGGGGGCAAGCGUUGUUCGGAAUUACUGGGCGUAAAGGGUUCGUAGGUGGCCAACUAAGUCAAACGUGAAAUCCCUCAGCUUAACUGGGGAACUGCGUCUGAUACUGGUUGGCUUGAGUGCAGGAGAGGAACGCGGAAUUCCAGGUGUAGCGGUGAAAUGCGUAGAUAUCGGGAGGAACACCAGUAGCGAAGGCGGCUCGCUGGGCCACUCCUGACGCUGAGACGCGAAAGCUAGGGGAGCGAACAGG